Molecule: ribosomal RNA, 252 nt
Filed under: uncultured bacterium
Lineage: Bacteria
Description: partial 16S ribosomal RNA
Rfam family: Bacterial small subunit ribosomal RNA
Source: RNAcentral
UACGAAGGGGGCUAGCGUUGCUCGGAAUCACUGGGCGUAAAGGGUGCGUAGGCGGGUUUUUAAGUCAGGGGUGAAAUCCUGGAGCUCAACUCCAGAACUGCCUUGAUACUGAAGAUCUUGAGUCCGGGAGAGGUGAGUGGAACUGCGAGUGUAGAGGUGAAAUUCGUAGAUAUUCGCAAGAACACCAGUGGCGAAGGCGGCUCACUGGCCCGGUACUGACGCUGAGGCACGAAAGCGUGGGGAGCAAACAGG